RNAcentral lists this long non-coding RNA (1510 nucleotides) under Nicotiana benthamiana. RNAcentral describes it as "long non-coding RNA (NBEN_LNC004544)". The record is from RNAcentral. Lineage: Eukaryota; Viridiplantae; Streptophyta; Magnoliopsida; Solanales; Solanaceae.
GCAUAAAUAAUUAUCUAAACAUAAGAACCAUAAAUAAAAUAUCAUGCAAUAAUAUCAGACAGUAACUACCAUAAAUAACUAACAUAAGGGAGACGCAAUCCAAUACACAAAUCCUCUAUGGAUAGCCCUGCCAAGCCUCACCCAACCCCGGGUGAGGAGUACGAAAAACUCUAGGGACCCUUAUCCUACAACCCUGAUACUAGACCUCCAGACUUUCCUAUCAAAGGCCAUGUCCUCGGGAACCCGCAUACUAGCCAUGUCAUUCCUAAUCACCUCUUCCCAAUACCUCUUAGGCCUCCCUCUACCUCGCCGAACGCCGAUCAUCGUCAGCCGUUCACAACUCCUCACCGGGGCAUCAGGACUUCUCCUUCGCACAUGCCCGAACCACCUCAGCCUCGCUUCUCGCAUCGAUUACUUAAAUGGUCACUCAACUAUUCAAAAUUAUUUAAUAAAGUUAUUUUCUAUCGUUUGUAACAAAAAAAUCACUUAACUAUACCUAUUGCACUCAGAAAGUCACUCAACUAAAUUUCUCAAACUUUUGAUUGCCAAAAUACCUAUUUUACCCUAUAAAUUAUCAACUUUUGCCCUUUUUGUUUAUUUCUUUAUAAGGUCUUUUGCCCUCUUUUUUUUUUUUUCUUUUUAUUUGUUUCUCUUUUAAAUUUAUGUUAUGGACUUACUUAAACAAUAAAUAAAUUUUAUUUAUAAAAUAAAAAAUAAAAUAGUAUUUAAUCAUAUAUAAUAAUGGAAUAAUAAAAUACUGAUCAUAGUAAAAAAAUUAAUUAGAAUAAUUUGUUUUUUUUAAUAAUUUUGAUAUUAACAACAAAAACUCAAACAUUUAUUUGCAUAAUUAAGAAUGAAAGAAAAUAAAAAAAAUUAAAAUACAUAUCCCAUGCACGUAAUAAUAAAAAAUAAUUAUUUAAAAUAGAGGUAUAUUUUAUAAUAUAUAGUAUUACAUAUUCUUGAAAAAUAUGCUCAAUUAUUUUAUUAUUCCGAUUAUAUAUGCUAGGAAACUAAUUUUUCAUUCUUUUAUAGUUUAAAAAUAAAAUUAUUGGUUCUAUAAAUAAGUCUGUAAUGUAAAAGUGGGGUCUGGGGAGGGUAAUAUGUAGACGAGCCUUACCCCUACCCGAAAAGGCAGAGAGGCUAUUUCCAAUCGACCCUCAGCUCAAUGAAGGAAAGGAACAACAAAACAAAAACAAAAGAGCAUUAGUAAUUUCAGCAGAAUGGAUAUCCCUGCCAAGCCUCACCCAACCCCGGGAGAAUAGUACGAAAAACUCUAGAGGCCCUUAUCCUACAUCCCUGAUACUAGACCUCCAGACUUUCCUAUCAAGGGUCAUGUCCUCAGAAACCCGCAUUCUAGCCAUGUCUUGCCUUAUCACCUCUCCCCAAUACCUCUUAGGCCUCCCUAUCGUGCUAUAUUAAUCCAAGAGACAAAGAAUUCGAUUUCAUUACUUAAAUGGUCACUCAACUAUUCAAAAUUAUUUAAUAAAGUUAUUUUCUUUCGUUUGUAACA